GGGGACGACAGGCUUCGACGCGGUUGGUUCAUGGGGGUGGUUGCGAGUCGAGGUUCCGGGCGGCCUCGUAAAACACCCGGAAAAACCAUAAGUGCGGACUCUCACGAGUACGCCCUCGCUGCUUAGCUAGAAGCUAGGCGAGUGAGGUCUUGGCCCCCGCCCGCCUGCGGCGGGGAUCGCCGGGAUCAGAUAGCAGGCUCACUCGGAGAGGGUGGCUCCCACCGAUCCGAGGAAACUCUUCGGGGGCUGGUCCCGCGCAACCCCGCCGGCGUGGCGAGCGCGGGACGAGAUCAGAGCGCCGGCUACGCUCGUAGAAGCCACCUUUCGUGCAACCGCGGACGCGGGUUCGAUUCCCGCCGUCUCCACUA
Molecule: transfer-messenger RNA, 368 nt
Filed under: Actinomycetota bacterium
Lineage: Bacteria; Bacillati; Actinomycetota
Rfam family: transfer-messenger RNA
About the family: Bacterial tmRNA, also known as 10Sa RNA or SsrA, is named for its dual tRNA and mRNA-like properties. Its role is to liberate the mRNA from a stalled ribosome.
Source: RNAcentral